CACUUGUUGCCUCGGCGGAUCAGCCCGCUCCCGGUAAAACGGGACGGCCCGCCAGAGGACCCCUAAACUCUGUUUCUAUAUGUAACUUCUGAGUAAAACCAUAAAUAAAUCAAAACUUUCAACAACGGAUCUCUUGGUUCUGGCAUCGAUGAAGAACGCAGCAAAAUGCGAUAAGUAAUGUGAAUUGCAGAAUUCAGUGAAUCAUCGAAUCUUUGAACGCACAUUGCGCCCGCCAGUAUUCUGGCGGGCAUGCCUGUUCGAGCGUCAUUUCAACCCUCAAGCACAGCUUGGUGUUGGGACUCGCGUUAAUUCGCGUUCCUCAAAUUGAUUGGCGGUCACGUCGAGCUUCCAUAGCGUAGUAGUAAAACCCUCGUUACUGGUAAUCGUCGCGGCCACGCCGUUAAACCCCAACUUCUGAAUGUUGACCUCGGAUCAGGUAGGAAUACCCGCUGAACUUAAGCAUAUCAAUAGCCGGAGGAAG
RNAcentral lists this ribosomal RNA (481 nucleotides) under Fusarium sp. osu_ktma_12_2c. RNAcentral describes it as "eukaryotic LSU rRNA". The stretch from base 114 to 267 matches the Rfam family "5.8S ribosomal RNA". The record is from RNAcentral. Lineage: Eukaryota; Fungi; Ascomycota; Sordariomycetes; Hypocreales; Nectriaceae.